Molecule: long non-coding RNA, 1539 nt
Filed under: Androctonus crassicauda
Lineage: Eukaryota; Metazoa; Arthropoda; Arachnida; Scorpiones; Buthidae
Source: RNAcentral
UAGAAUUCUUUUUUUAUAAGUUUAUGUUAAUUGAACUGUUAAACAACAACCUCCAAAAAAAUUCGAAAAUUUUGAGCGUGAGACCGUCGUAUUUUCAAACAUUGUGACAAGCGCUGUCACAAGCAGUUAGUUGAAAUAUUUUCUAAGACAAAGUGUCGACAACUGCAGAGAUUUCAGAAUGCUUUUGGAUUCAAUCGCACCCUGCACCAGAUAACACAUAUAGCUGAUAAUGAUGAUGGAACGAAAAAUUACCUGAAACUGAGUAUAUUCUGACAGGCAUGUGCCCCUCAUUCCCUCCAGGGCUAAUCGCCUCCACCUUCUAUUUAUCUCUUGUUCUGUUUAUCCUUAUUCUGUUCUAUUAUUUUGUAUUAUCUCUUAUUCGGCCGUGUUAAGAAUAAGGCGUAUAGUUUGUGUGAUAUGUACGCCGUUAGUAAGACGAUAAAAACGAAAGUGAGAUGACUACUUUUACGACUGAAACAGUACAGAGGAAACGUGGGUGGUCGGGGUAAAGUGACACCCCUAUCACCCCUCAUCCCUCCAGCUUUGUUGGACGUCGGUGAAAUCCGGGGUCCACCCAAUCUUCGACAAAAUGGUGGUGACAUAAAGUCUGUAAAGUUCUGUAGUCGCAUACACCCGUCGUCACCACUAGUAAAAUAUCUGAUGGUCUUAUCGAAUGAACGUUUCUUGUAGCCGUUGCAGCGGCCUUUACAGGUCAACCAACCUUGUAAUUACUGCCAAGACUAUCAUCGAAAAGCGUCCUUGGCCUCACCGAUGAUCUGCGUGGGUUUUAAAGAAUGGACCCACCUCUUGAUGAUCAGGCGGACGCUUCUUUGCUCAACUCCAGAACCACUCGAGUUUGGAUGGCUAAACACGUGGGAAGAAUUGUCUCCACGCCGUCUGCCAACUAAACCGACAAUAAACGAUAGAAAACGAAAAAAAAAACUCCCGCUAAAAGUUGGUAUGCAAUCACGUGACAAACACGUUUGACAGCCCAAGAUCGAUGACACACGACCUCAGACUGACGUUUUAUUUCACGCAGCCACGUGGGCGAAGCGAUAUCAAGCGACAUCUAAACUCAACCAUUUUAAAAGACGAUUUUUUUUAUUUAAGCUAGUCACCCAACCACUUCUCACCCAAUGCUCACAUACCUAACCGUACUUUCACCUCAGUGAGGUACUUAACUCUCUCGUAUUGUUACUUUCUCAUCAGCAUUGUUGGAAUAUUGUUGAUGGUUUAGCCUUCGGGUCUUCCGUAUUCGGUUUAGAUCUUAAGCAUGAUACAUUUCUAUUUAGUAAUAGGUGGAGUUAGUUUGUUGACAACCAGCAAUUUGUAUGUCGUUCUGGUCUUUCAAUGAUCCUACGACCAACGAUGCAUCAAUAAUCGGAAGGGUUUGAAAAUGCAACAAGCUUCCAUUUAAUAACCGCACUUGCAAAAGUUACACGUUAUUACCCAUUACUUACCAUGCUGUUAUCUGUGGAAUAUAUAUCUGUAAAUUUUCUACACCGUCGUUAAAAUUCGCAUAUAGCUCCCUUAUGUCAC